This 468-nucleotide ribosomal RNA is filed under the name uncultured bacterium. RNAcentral's name for it is "partial 16S ribosomal RNA". It matches the Rfam family "Bacterial small subunit ribosomal RNA", at positions 28 to 507 of the family's 1533-position model. The record is from RNAcentral.
GACGAACGCUGGCGGCGUGCUUAACACAUGCAAGUCGAACGGUGAAGCUCCAGCUUGCUGGAGUGGAUCAGUGGCGAACGGGUGAGUAACACGUGAGCAACCUGCCCCAGACUCUGGAAUAAGCGCUGGAAACGGCGUCUAAUACUGGAUACGAGAUCAAGCCGCAUGGUUAUGGUCUGGAAAGUUUUUCGGUUUGGGAUGGGCUCGCGGCCUAUCAGCUUGUUGGUGAGGUAAUGGCUCACCAAGGCGACGACGGGUAGCCGGCCUGAGAGGGCGACCGGCCACACUGGGACUGAGACACGGCCCAGACUCCGACGGGAGGCAGCAGUGGGGAAUAUUGCACAAUGGGCGAAAGCCUGAUGCAGCGACGCCGCGUGAGGGAUGACGGCCUUCGGGUUGUAAACCUCUUUCAGCAGGGAAGAAGCGAAAGUGACGGUACCUGCAGAAGAAGCACCGGCUAACUACGUG